GGGAAGGCACCAAAGGGAGGCGGGGCGGCGCCUCGGCCUCCCUCCCUCCCUGCUUGUGGCCGCGGUGGCUCCUCCUCCUCGUGGCUGGGCGAGCGAACGUGGCAGCCGGCGGAGGCGGCCCUGGCCGAGCCCGCCCCUCCAUUUUGCACCGGGCGCCGAGCGGGAGGCUGAGGACAAAUUUUGAAGCACCAUGGAAGGUGUCCUGUGAGCAGAAGAACCAGCAGCGAGGCAGGAUUGUGUCACUGAAAAA
RNAcentral lists this long non-coding RNA (250 nucleotides) under Notechis scutatus (mainland tiger snake). RNAcentral describes it as "lncRNA (ENSNSUG00000010669.1)". Lineage: Eukaryota; Metazoa; Chordata; Lepidosauria; Squamata; Elapidae. The record is from RNAcentral.